Mustela lutreola (European mink) is the source of this 9587-nucleotide long non-coding RNA. RefSeq lists it as uncharacterized. The transcript has 2 exons. NCBI's taxonomy places the organism in Eukaryota, Metazoa, Chordata, Mammalia, Carnivora, Mustelidae. The record is from RefSeq and is a predicted model, not a curated record.
ACAAGCAGGGGUAGUGGUAGGGGAAGAUGCAGGCCUCCUGCUGAGCAGGGAGCCUGAUGCGGGGCUCCAUCCCAGGACCCCAGGACCCCAGGACCAUGGCAUAAGCGGAAGUCAGACACCUAACAACUGAGCCACCUAGGUGCCCCAAGAUUUUUUUUUUUAAAGUAAUCUCUACAACCAGUGUGGGGCUUGAACUCACAACCCUGAGAUCAAGUAUGACAUGCUCCUCUGACUGAGCCAGCCCGGCGCUCCUAGAGUCACCUUUUUUUUUUUUUUUUUUUAAGAUUUCUUUAUUUAUUUGAGAGAGCUCUUGCAAGCAAGUGUGCACAAGUGGGGCAGGAGGCAAGGGAGGAGAGAGAGAAUCCUCACCCUGACUCCCUGCUGAGCACAAAGCCCUUCUUGGAGUUCAACCCCAGGAUUCUUAGAUCAUGAUCCAAGUGGUAACCAAGAGUCAGACACUCCCCUGAGCGUGCCACUCAGGUGUCCCUCUACAGUCAACUUUUAAGUGGUGGUUAGCAUCUGAAUGCAGAACUGAUUUUAGGGCACCUGUGUGUGUCAGAUCCUGAUUCCAGGGUCCUGGGAGUAAGCCCCAUGUCAGGAUCUCUGCUGGGUGGGAAGCCUGCUUCUCCCUCUCCCCCUAUUUGUGUUCCCUUUCUCACUCUGUUUCUCUGUGCGCCCCAAAUAAAUAAAAUCUUAAAAAAAAAAGAAAAGAACUAAUUUUAGAGCCCUUUCCCCUGCAUAGAAACUAUAUAGAGAAAGAGAGGAGAACCGCACAGAACUCUGAGGAAUACCAAAACUUAAGAGGUGGACAGGAAAAGAGAUCACAUCAAAGAAGAAUCAGAGAUAAUAGUUUUUUAGGGCUGCCAUAAUAUAAAGUGCUCUGGGCUUAAUCAACCGAAGUUCAUCUUCUCACAGUUCUGGACGUUAGGAGUCUGAGAUCAAGGUAUCGUCAGCGCUGUUAUUUCUGAGGUGUCAGUCCUUGUCACAUGUAGCUGUUUUCUGUCUUCACAUGCUCUUUACUCUGUGCACACCUGUGUCCCGACUCCCUUGGUAAGGACACCAGUUACAUUGGAUGAAAGCCCCCCCACCACCCACCUCAUUUAACCUUAAUUACCUCUGUAAAGAGCCUAUUUCCAAAUGUAGUCAAAUUCUGAGCUACUGGGGAUUAGGACUUCAAUACAUGCAUUUGGGGAAAACAAUUUACUUUAUUAUAUAUUAUAGCAUUCUUAAUUUUUCCUUCACAGCAUCUAGAAUAAUUUUGUGUUUUAAUAAUUCUAAAUUAUUUUAAUUAUUAUGUUAAAUUUCUAGAUUUUUAAAAAAGAUUUUAUUUAUUUGUUUGACAGAGGGAGAGAGAUCACAAGUAGACAGAGAGGCAGGCGGGGGUGGGGGGAAGCAGGCUCCCCACUGAGCAGAGAGCCCGAUGCAGGGCUCGAUCCCAGGACCCUGAGAUCAUGACCUGAGCUGAAGGCAGAGACUUAACCCACUGAGCCACCCAGGCGUCCAAAAUCUCUAGAUCUUAAUUAUACCUUUUAAAAUCUCUUCUCAUUUUUAUAGUCUUUUAUCCUUCAGUCAUACUUACAUUUCCUUUAAAUUUAUUAAACAUACUUAUUUAUAUGAUGUAUUAUGAUUCCGGUAACCAAAGUCUCUGUGGGCUUAGUUCUGCUAUUUAUAACUUCUGCUCAUUCUCAUCCUCGGUGCCUUAUUUCCUGUUGCCUUGUGUUUUGGGAUUUGUAUUUGUGAACUCAUAUUUGAAGAAGUUUUAGGGAAUUUUUGAGGUCUGGAUUGAAGGUGCCUUUCUUCAGAGAGGAUUUGUGUUUCUUUUCUUUUCUUUCCUUCUUUUAAGUAGGCUCCACACCCAGCAUGGACCCCAUAGGGCCCAGUGUAGAGCUUGUCCUCCUGACCCUGAGAUCAAAACCUGAGCUGAGGGACGCCUGGGUGACUCAUUUGGUUAAGGGUCUGCUUGGGCUCAGGUCAUGAUCUCAGGGUCCUGGGAUCAAGCCCCACAUCGGGCUUUCUGUUUGGUGGGAAGCCUGCUUCUCCCUCUCCCAUUUCCCCUACUUGUGUUCCCUUUCUCACUGUGUCUCUGUCAAAUAAAUAAAUAAAAUCUUAAAAGAAAAAAGACCUGAGCGGAGAUCAAGAGUUGGACACUUAACUGACUAAGCCAUCCAGGCAUCCCUCUUUAUUUCUUUCAGGAGCCUAGAGAUACUACCAACUUGUGAAUGAGUUUAAAAUAAAAUCUGAGUUUAAUUAUUUCUGCUUAUUCAGGUAAUAUGAAUCUAGGUUAUAAACCCAUGAGAGGACCAACUUGUGAAUUCUAAGGGGAGAUCUUUUUCUUCUCAUUUUGAGCCAAGACUGAGAUAAGGACAUUUAUUUUCCAUCUCUUAUCUCAGGGUGGAUACUUUCUAGUUUGCCCUUCCACUGAGAGUGGAGUCUGCAGGAGGCCUAGCCUUGUUUGGGGGCAUUCCAAUCCAGUUGCUCUUUUUGCACAAGCCCUAGACUUUGUCUGCUAUCCCUUGAGAAACCAUUAAGAUGGAAGUUCUGUCUCUGGGGGUUAGCAGAUGUCUCUAGAAUAUUCACCAAUUUCAGCCUUAUGUUUUCGGACUCAUGCUUUUGCUUUUUAUAUUUGAGCUGGUGUUUUGAGGUGUUUUGUUGUGGAAUAGUUGUCAGGUUAACUGGUGUGUUAUACUGCUAGAUUCUUCGUUGAAUGUUGAUGCCUUCACACCCUCCUGCCUCCCUCACUACAAAGUUCCAUGAGGGCAGAGGGCAGAUCCAUCUUACCACUGCUAUUUUCUGGCACACAGAAAGUGAUCGAUAAAUAUUUAUUGACUGUAUGAAAGUAGAAAGAAAGGAGUUCCUUGAAAAGAGAGGAAAAAAUUCAGGUAAGGACUGAAAAUAGUCCAUGUACUUAGCAAUUAAGUAAUUUUGAGAAUAGAUUUUGUACAUUAAUGAGGGCAAGAGCUGAAUUUCACUGGAUUAAAGAGUAAAUAGUAAUUGAAAAUUUCUUUAUCAAGAAAUUUUAGAGUGAUGAGAAAGCAGAGGGUGUUUGGGUUGAAGAAAGAAUGGGGGUUUCAAACCUUUGUAGGUUAGAGAGAAUGAUCUUCUGGCAUGAAAGAAAUUAGAAAGAAGAAAGAAGGGGGGCACCUGGGUGGCUUAAUCAGUUAAGUGUCUGACUCUUGAUGUUGGCUCAGGUCAUGAUCUCAGGGUUAUAAAAUCGAACCCUGUGCUGAGCCCCGAGUGGGGCUCUGUGCUCAGAGGGGAGUCUGCUUGAGAUUCUCUCCCUUGUCCUCUGCCCCUCCCCCCACUCACACACACUGUCUCUCAAAUAAAUAAAUCUUUAAAAAAAUUAUUUAUUUGAGAAUGAAAGAGAGAGAGAGACAGAGCACAGGCAGAGAGAGGGGAAGAGGGAGAAGCUGAUACUCUGCUGAGCAGGGAGCCCAAUAUGGUACCUGAUCCUGGGACUCCCAGGAGCCAAAGGCAGACACUUAACUGAGCCACCCAGGUAUCCCCAUAAAUAAAUCAUAAAAAAAAAAGGGCGGGGGGAGAGAAGGGGCAAUUGAUAGAGCAUGGUAUUCCAGAAGAGACAGAUGGGAGGGCAGAAUUAAAGCCUCUAUAAGGAGAUUCUGUUAUUUAACUAAGUAAGAUGGGGUGCCCACUCCUUUUCAGGUGGAAUGCAAGGUGGUCUGCAAAAGCCAGAGGCUUGAACUAUAGUGAGGUGCUUGAGGAGAACAGCUCUGGGAAAUUCACAAGAAAUCUAGCUUCCAUGCAGACUGCCACAUUAAGGCUGGAUAUCACUGACUCCCAUCAGUGGUAUCCAUAAAGCAGCAGCCUAGAACUGGUAGUAGAGAAAACACACCUCUAUCCCCAAUACCUAGAACAACUCUUGGCACUUCAGUAGGCAGUUGAUAAGUAUUUCUUAAUAAACAAACAAAGAUUAGCAUUAGAAGUGGGGAAUAGUGAGGCAGUUGGGACCAAAGAACAAAAGACAAAGGUAAUUGAGGGUGUGGCAAGUGUCUUGAGGUAGAUCAUUGUCCAUGGAGCCUCAGGUGGACCAGGUAAAAAGUGAGGCCACAAAGGAUCUGUUAGGCUGGAACUGUGGUUGGCCAUAAGUGAACAAAACUGAAGAAUGACUGAAAUUUUGUUUUUAAGAUUUUGUUUAUUUGACAGAGAGAUCACAAGUAGGCAGAGAGGCAGGCAUAGAGAGAGGGAGGAGGAAGCAGGCUCCCCACUGAGCAGAGAGCCCGAUGAGGGGCUCGAUCCCAGGACUCUAAGAUCAUAACCUGAGUGGAAGGCAGAGGCUUAACCCACUGAGCCACCCAGGCGCCCCUCAGUGUUUUUCCUUUUGGCCUGUGACAUGGAACUCAGAUUGACUUCUCUUCUAUAAAGUCUGACAAUGGGACCUGCAGCUGCAGGUUCCAACUGAACCAGGCUCCUGAUUGUUAUAAGCUGAAAAGGCAAUGUGAGCACUAUCCAGAAUCCCAUUAACUAAUAAUAGAUUAAUACCAAAUUAGAGGUCUCUAGUACAUUCCACCAGGCUUUGACCUGGGAGCUGUCAUGUUCAACGUUUGUACAGAUGGUUUUGUUUAGAACUGAUGGCAGUCGCACCUGGCUGUGUGUGGUGGUCUACAGUUGGUAGAACAUUGAUGCUUGAUCUUGAGGUCAUGAGUUUGAGUCCCAUGUUGGGUGUAGAGAUUACUUUAAAAAUCAGUUAAUUAAUUUUAGAAUAAAGAACAUUGAUGACAGAUGGUUACAUUUGUUGAUAGGAAGAAUAUGGGAGGGGUAAUGAAUAUAUUGUUGGAGAACAGAAUCAGAAUGCAAAGAGAAUGCAGGCUAGACCAAAGCUAACAAGAUUUAGUUUAAAUGGGCUAAAUGUAAAGUGUAGCACAAAGAAGGUUAUGUGUGUGUGUAUGUGUGUAUGAUAUGGGAGAUAUGGCAUAAUAUGAUUUGAAAAUUACUUAGGAAACUGAAUAGUAAUAUGGGCAAAGUAGAGGGGCCUAGGUGGCCCAGUUGGUUAUGCCUCCAACUCUUGGUUUUGGCUCAGAUGGUGAUCUCAGGGUGGUGGGAUCAAGCUCCAUGUUGGGCUGUGUUUAGUGCAAAGUCUGCUUAAGACUCUCUCUCCUGGGGCACCUGGGUGGCUCAUUGGUUAAAGCCUCUGCCUUCAGCUCAGGUCAUGAUCCCAGGGUCCUGGGAUUGAGCCCCACAUUGGGCUCUCUCUCAGUGGAGAGCUUGCUUCCCCCCCUCCUCUCUCUCUCUCUGCCUCUCUGCCUACUUGUGACCUCUGUCAAGUAAAUAAAUAAAAUCUUAAAAAAAAAACCUCUCUCUCCCUCUUCCUCUGCUCCCCCCAUCCCCCGCAUGCUCACACACACUCACUCUCUCAAAUAAAAUCUUUUUUUUUUUUUAACAUUUUAUUUAUAUAUUUGAGAUAGAGUGUGCACGAGAGAGAGAAGGAACAGGGGCAGAGGCAGAGGGAAAGGGAGAAGUAGACUCCCCACUGAGGAGGGAGCCCAACGCUGGGAUCAUGACCUGAGCUGAAGGCAUACACUUAACUGACUGAGUCACCCACAUGCCCCUCAAAUAAAAUCUUAAAUAAAUAAAUAAAUAAACACGGGCAAAAUAGGCAAAUAAACUAGAGGACAUACAAAUGGCAUAUACAUACAUACACACUCAUAUAUAUACAUACGUAUACAUGUAUGUGUGUGUUCUUAUAGGAGAUAACUUUUAUUCAUCUUUCUUAUUGGCAAAAAUUUAAGACUGCUAAUACCAAGUGUUAGCAAAAGUAUGGAGAAUUGUCCAAGGUAUUCACACAAGUUGGUGGGAAUAUAAAUCAUUUUAGUGCAAUUUUAAGUAUAUAUUAAAAUUUUAAAAGUACAUAUCCUAAAACCUAGCAAUUCACUCUUUGAAUGUUUAUUGAAGAGUCUCAGUUGGUUAAGCAUCUGACUCUUGAUCUUAGCAUCUCAGCUCAGGUCUCAAUCUCUUGAGUGAUGCCUACUUAAAUUUUUUUUUUUUUUUUACCCCAAAGAGAUACUCCUGUGUAGCACUAAGAGUCAUAAAGAAUCUUCAAUGAAACAUUGUAAUAACAACAACAACAACAAAAUGGAAACACUGUGUAUGCAACAAGAGACUGGUUAAACCAUUACCUCCAUACUAUAGGCUACUGUUUGGCAGUUAUAAAAGGGAGAUGGCUUUAUUCGUACUGAUGUGAGAAGUUCUCUGUAAUGUGUUAAUGUGAAAAAAGAUGUAGAAUAGUACAAAUCAUUUGAUACAUUUAUGUUUUAAAAAUCUCUUACAACUACAUAUUUCCACAUGAAAUAUAUAUCCAUGUAAAAUACACAGGAAAAAAGUCUGGAAGAAUAUAUAACCAAAGUGAAACAGUAUGUAUCCCUGGAAGGAAAGGACUGGGAUUUGGGAUAUUGGUCAAAGGAAACUUUGGAUUUGUCUGUUGUUUUUUUAAAUGAAGAUUUAGAUCUCUAUUAUUUACAUGUUUUAUAAAGUAAAUGCAUUCAUGUUAUUUAUGAAGUCAAAACAAAUGAAAACAACCCCACCUCACCCCGUAAUUACACUUGUAGGUUUUAUGUAGUAUCGGUUUUAUUUCAUUUUUUAAAAAAGCUUUUUAUUUUUUUAAAGCUUUUUAUUUUUAUUUAAAAGGCUUUAUUAUUUUUAUUUUAUUUAUUUUUAUUUUUUAAAAAGAUUUUAUUUAUUUAUUUGACAGAGAGCACAAGCAGUGGGGGAGCAGUAGGCAGAGGGAGAGGGAGAAGCAGGCUUCCUGCUGAGUGGGGAGCCCAAUGUGGGGCAGAGCCCAGGAUCCUGAGAUUAUGAUCUGAGCAGAGGCUUAAUCCACUGAGCCAUGCAGGCGUCCCUGUAGUGUCAGUUUUAAUGAGUCAACAGUGUGCAGCACUUGGGUGGCUCAGUUGGUUAGGUGUCUGCCUUCAGCUCGAAUGGUGGUCUCAGGGUCCUGGGAUCACAGUCUUCCUGCUCAGAGGCAAGUCUGAUUGUCCCUCUGCCCCUCUCCCUUCUGUGCUUUCUUUCCCUCUCUCUUUCUCUCUCUUUCAAAUAAAUAAAAUCUUAAAAAAAUGAGUCAGAGGUGUGAUAGGGUAGGCAGUGAAUCUAAGGAUGCCUAAGGCUCUCCUACAGUCCAAGUCUACAACCAACCAAGUGGUGGUUUAGUUCUCCUUGGCUCAGUCAGGCCACAUCUGGACAAAACUUAGGCACACUGACAUAUUUGAGCUCUUCUAGAGAGCAGCCAGAGUCAUGCCAGGAAUGCAUAUCAUGUCAAGGAGAAAUAACUGAAGGAAGGGAGAUUGUUUAGGCUAAUGAAAAGAGAUGUAGAGAUAUGUAGAGCAUUUGAUACAUGAAUGGUUCUAAAGAUUUAUUUGAGAGAGAGGGAGGGAGAGAGUGCCAGUACACAUGCACAUGAGCUGGUAGAGGGGCAGAGGGAGAGAAUCUUCUAGCAGAGUCCUGGCUGAUUGUGGAGCCCCACAUGGGGCUUGAUGUCACAACCCAUAAGAUCAUGGCCUGAGAUAUUACCUUUCCAAUGGCAAUGUCAGCUUUCCUGACAUUGAGAUGAUGCAUUGAGAUGAUGACAUUGAGAUAUUUCUAUGGCCACCACAUCCCCUCUCAUUCUUUUGUUUUCCAGAGGUCCAUUCUAUGCAGAACCCUUUGCAAAGAAUCCCACUAUGCUUCCACAAAGUUAUUUUGAGGAUUUAAACUGGCUCCAUACUUCCAGGAUUAAUAUAUAUUUGACAUUUUGUCAGAAAGGAGUGCACUUUGGUGAUCCCAGGCUUUGUUGCUAGCCAAACUUUGCCUUGAAUUCUCUCUGCCAUGAGUUAUACUCAGUCUAAUGAACAUCCUCUACCCAGAGACAAAUAUUAAAUGCUUCAGUGGUCCCUCAAGGCCUCUCUUUCUAGGCUUGAGGAGAAGAGAGAGGUGCCUCUGACUGCUUCUCCUUGGGGUUUGGUGCAGCUCACAACAGGGCAGUAGCUGUCUCCAAAGAAAUCUAUUUUAUCUUGGUACCCCGCCUAAAACAUCCAAUUUAAUUUUUUUUUUUUUAAAGAUUGAUUUGAGAGAGGGGUGCCUGGGUGGCUCAGUCAGUUAAGCAUCUGCUUUUGGCUCAGGUCAUGAUCCCAGGGUCCUGGGAUGGAGUCCUGUGCAGGGCUCCCUGCUCAGUGGGGAGCCUGCUUCUCCCUCUGCCUCUGCAGCUCCCCACCCUCCACUCGUGCUUGCACUCUUUCUCUCAAAUAAAUAAAAUCUUUAUUUUUUUAAAAAAGACUUUAUUUAUCUGACAGAGAAAGAGAGAGAUCACAGGUAGGUAGAGAGGCAGACAGAGAGAGAGGGGGAAGCAGGCUUCCCACCGAGCAGAGAGCCUGAUAUGGGGCUCGAUCGCAGGAUCCUGAGAUCAUGACCUGAGCCGAAGGUAGAGACUUAACCCAUGGAGCCACCCAGGUGCCCCUAAAAUCUUUAUUUUAAAAAGAUUUUAGUUGUUUAUUUGAGAGAGAGAGAUAGAGAAUCUGAGCAGGGGGAGUAGCAGGCAGAGGGAGAGGGAGAAGCAGACUCCCCACAGAACUGAGAGCUGGACUCGGGGCUCAAUCCUAGGACUCCAGGAUCACAACUGGAGCUGAAGGCAGAUUCUUAACCAACUGAGCCACCCCAAUGCCCCUAAAUAAAUCUUAAAAAAAAAAAAAAAAAAUUGAGAGCCAAAGUGUGCAAGCAGGAGUGGGGGGAAAGUGAGAGAACUUUAAGCAGACUCCCCCCUGAGAGUGCAGCCCAAUGUGGGAUUCGAUAUCAUGACCCAUGAGAUUAUGACCUGAGCCAAAACCAUGAGUCAGGUUCCUAACCAACGAAGUCACCCAGGCAUCCCUCAAUUUAAAAUCUUACCAAGGGGCACCUGGAUGGCUCAGUCUGUAGAGCAUGUGACACAAUUUUUUUUUUUUUAAAGAGUUAUUUAUUUAUAUGGGGUAGAGGGGCAGAGGGAGAGGGAGAGAGAGGCUCCAGCAGAGACUCCCAGCUGAGUGAGGAGCCCGAAGCUGGGCUGGAUCCCAUGACCCUGAGAUUGUGACCUGAGCCAAAAUCAAGAGUUGCAUGCUUAACUGACUGAGCAACCAGGCACCCUGAGCACAUGACUCUUGAUCUUAGGGGCAUGAGUUCAAGUACUAUACUGGGUGUGGAAAAGAUAAGAAAAAAAGAAAAGGAAAGGAAGAAAAGAAAAGAGAAGAAAGAAAAGAAAAGAGGCACCUGGGUAGCUCAAUCUGUUAAGUGGUUGCCUUUGGCUCAGGUCAUGUUCUCAGGGUCCUGGGGUCAAGCCCCACAUUGGGCUUCCUGCUCAGUGGGAAUCAGCUUCUACCUCUCCCUCUGCCUCUCCCCUCAGCUUGUUUGCACCCUCUCUCUCAAAUAAAUAAAACCUUUUAAAAAAUUAAAAAAAGAAAAAAGGCACUCUAAGUGCUUUGUCAAUAAAUAAAUAAAAUCUUAUUAAAUAUAGGGCCCCCUGGCUGGCUCAGUUGGUGGUGUGUGUGACUCUUGAUCUCGUGGUUUGAUCUCGUGGUUGUGAGUUUGAGAGCCACACUGGGUGUGGAGAUUACAUAAAAAUAAAAUCUUUU